Molecule: ribosomal RNA, 540 nt
Filed under: Xenopus laevis (African clawed frog)
Lineage: Eukaryota; Metazoa; Chordata; Amphibia; Anura; Pipidae
Description: partial 16S ribosomal RNA
Rfam family: Bacterial large subunit ribosomal RNA
Source: RNAcentral
GUUCANCGGCCGCGGUAUUCUGACCGUGCAAAGGUAGCGUAAUCACUUGUCUUUUAAAUAAAGACUAGUAUGAAUGGCACCACGAAGGUUCAACGUCUCCUGCAUCCAAUCCAUUAAACUGACCUCCCCGUGCAGAGGCGGGGAUACAACCAUAAGACGAGAAGACCCUAUGGAGCUUUAAACUAAAGGCAACUGCCAACUUCAACCUAACCCGUAAGGAAGAAACAAUAAAACAAGCAGAAAUUGACCUAAAGUUUUCGGUUGGGGCGACCACGGAGAACAAAAAAUCCUCCUUGAAGAAUAGGGUCUACCACCCUUAACCAAGAAUCACCAUUCUAAGUAACAAAAUUUAUGACUACAAUUGAUCCAGUCUUACUGAUCAACGAACCAAGUUACCCUAGGGAUAACAGCGCAAUCCAUUUCAAAAGUUCCUAUCGACAAAUGGGUUUACGACCUCGAUGUUGGAUCAGGGCAUCCCAGUGGUGCAGCCGCUACUAAAGGUUCGUUUGUUCAACGAUUAAAGCCCUACGUGAUCUGANU